RNAcentral lists this long non-coding RNA (552 nucleotides) under Sinocyclocheilus anshuiensis. Its description in RNAcentral is "lncRNA (ENSSANG00000007933.1)". Lineage: Eukaryota; Metazoa; Chordata; Actinopteri; Cypriniformes; Cyprinidae. The record is from RNAcentral.
AUUACAGUCUAUGAAGACGUGAACACUGCAAAGAAACGAUCUGAAAGUGUUGUAAACGGGAUGUCCAUUUAUGAAACGGUGAAUGACAUAAAACUCUCACAAGACUUGCCUCAAACCCUGUAUGACAAAGUCAACUACCAGCGUCAGCCUGUUGUCAGAGCCAGCACUUCCUCCCCUUACCAGGAAGUCCUGUGAGUGUGAGACAGACAGACGGUUCUUGUAUUGUUUUGUCAUCUUAUAUCUGGAUUGAGUUAACCAGCCUCCCAUAUGUAUUAUUGGCUGCAUCAUUUGACCUUUGAACUCUUGCAUUAAAUGCACUGUGCAUUCAAGGUAUCAUGUUGGAACACUUUUUUAUUUUUUUUUAUUAUUAUUUUAUUGUAAUUUUUUUUUUUUGCAGAAUUCACUAUGCAGCACAAUAUUUCAUUAUGCACACUAUCAUUCAAAAAUCGAAUUGGGCUCAGUAAGUAAGAUUCUUUUGGAAAAAAGUAUUUUAUGCUCAUCAAGGCUGCGUUUAUUUGAUGAGAAAUACAGUAAAAACUGUGAAAUAUUUUU